UACGAAGGGGGCUAGCGUUGCUCGGAAUCACUGGGCGUAAAGCGCACGUAGGCGGCUUAUUAAGUCAGAGGUGAAAUCCUGGAGCUCAACUCCAGAACUGCCUUUGAUACUGAUGAGCUUGAGUUCGGGAGAGGUGAGUGGAACUGCGAGUGUAGAGGUGAAAUUCGUAGAUAUUCGCAAGAACACCAGUGGCGAAGGCGGCUCACUGGCCCGAUACUGACGCUGAGGUGCGAAAGCGUGGGGAGCAAACAGGG
This 254-nucleotide ribosomal RNA is filed under the name uncultured bacterium. RNAcentral describes it as "partial 16S ribosomal RNA". It matches the Rfam family "Bacterial small subunit ribosomal RNA", at positions 524 to 777 of the family's 1533-position model. The record is from RNAcentral.